Molecule: unclassified non-coding RNA, 453 nt
Filed under: Hevea brasiliensis (rubber tree)
Lineage: Eukaryota; Viridiplantae; Streptophyta; Magnoliopsida; Malpighiales; Euphorbiaceae
Source: RNAcentral
AAAAUCUGGAAUAAACAAAUGGAAAUCUAAAGUCAGGUUCAUGAGGUUCCAAUAAAUGCUAAAGGCACCACUUUAACAUUUGAAUCUGAUUCAGAAAACGUUACAUUCAUGAUAAUAAAAUUGUACGCCAAUCCAAACUAAUGCAAUUUCGUUUAGCUAAGGUCCACAAAAAGUGGCAAGAUAAUAGUUCCCUUUGCAAAAUAGUUCACUGAAUAAAGGUGGCAACAACAAUAAAUUAUAUAGACAAUACCUUAUUUAGGGGUAUGUAAUAGUAACUAUUUAAAAUUUCUUGAUAUUUAAUUUUAGUAAUAUAAAAUGCCCUAAUGACUUCUAGCUGUUGGUUUCUAGGUUAUUUAAGAUGACAUGAUAUUAAUCAAAUUAAAAAAAUUAUAUUUUCAUGAAUUAAUAGUUUCGGAUAAAUAAAUUUUGAGUUAUUAAAAUGUUCGAUUUAUG